Long non-coding RNA from Ipomoea nil (Japanese morning glory), 498 nucleotides. RefSeq lists it as uncharacterized. NCBI's taxonomy places the organism in Eukaryota, Viridiplantae, Streptophyta, Magnoliopsida, Solanales, Convolvulaceae. The record is from RefSeq and is a predicted model, not a curated record. The transcript has 3 exons.
UAUGGGGUUACAGAGAGAGGAGAUCUUGAGAGUAUUGAGAAAGAUGAUGUUGUCCAGUACCAGCGAAGACUAGAAUCAUCUUCAAAUGCAGCUGGGCCUUCAUUGAGGAACAUGAUGUUCCGGUCUUCCACUUCUAUUGACAGAAAUUUGUGUUCAUCACAUAGUGAACCGAAUAUUACUACAAGAUUUUGGAGGAGGGGUUGGAGCAAGGUUAUCACUGAACCAAGAACUGCAAGUUCUAGGUUUGUUUUUAUAUCAAGAAUUCUUACUAAAAAGAUGCUUGUUACUCUAUCUUCUAAUGACAUCUUCAACUUGGAGCCUUUGUAUUGCCUGCUUUUGUUUUGUGAUUAUGGCUAUGAAACUUGUAUGAUAUGGAUUAUAACUUGACUUAACAUCUUAUUUGUCUCAAGUGGUCACCAAUUCUUUAACUGACAGAAAACUUGGCAAGAUCAAAAUAUAAGCUUAUGUUAAUGUUAAUUGGGGAUAAGUGAUAAACAU